GACGAACGCUGGCGGCGUGCUUAACACAUGCAAGUCGAGCGAUGAAGUUCCUUCGGGAAUGGAUUAGCGGCGGACGGGUGAGUAACACGUGGGUAACCUGCCUCGUAGAGGGGAAUAGCCUUCCGAAAGGAAGAUUAAUACCGCAUAAGAUUGUAGUACCGCAUGGUAUAGCAAUUAAAGGAGUAAUCCGCUAUGAGAUGGACCCGCGUCGCAUUAGCUAGUUGGUGAGGUAACGGCUCACCAAGGCGACGAUGCGUAGCCGACCUGAGGGGGUGAUCGGCCACAUUGGGACUGAGACACGGCCCAGACUCCUACGGGAGGCAGCAGUGGGGAAUAUUGCACAAUGGGGGAAACCCUGAUGCAGCAACGCCGCGUGAGUGAUGACGGUCUUCGGAUUGUAAAGCUCUGUCUUCAGGGACGAUAAUGACGGUACCUGAGGAGGAAGCCACGGCUAACUACGUGCCAGCCGCCGCAGUAA
Molecule: ribosomal RNA, 478 nt
Filed under: uncultured bacterium
Lineage: Bacteria
Description: partial 16S ribosomal RNA
Rfam family: Bacterial small subunit ribosomal RNA
Source: RNAcentral